UACGUAGGGUGCGAGCGUUGUCCGGAAUUACUGGGCGUAAAGAGCUCGUAGGUGGUUUGUCGCGUUGUUCGUGAAAACCGGGGGCUUAACCCUCGGCGUGCGGGCGAUACGGGCAGACUUGAGUACUGCAGGGGAGACUGGAAUUCCUGGUGUAGCGGUGGAAUGCGCAGAUAUCAGGAGGAACACCGAUGGCGAAGGCAGGUCUCUGGGCCAUAACUGACGCUGAGAAGCGAAAGCAUGGGGAGCGAACAGG
RNAcentral lists this ribosomal RNA (253 nucleotides) under uncultured bacterium. RNAcentral describes it as "partial 16S ribosomal RNA". It matches the Rfam family "Bacterial small subunit ribosomal RNA", at positions 524 to 776 of the family's 1533-position model. The record is from RNAcentral.